This 498-nucleotide ribosomal RNA is filed under the name uncultured bacterium. Its description in RNAcentral is "partial 16S ribosomal RNA". It matches the Rfam family "Bacterial small subunit ribosomal RNA", at positions 30 to 523 of the family's 1533-position model. The record is from RNAcentral.
AUUGAACGCUGGCGGCAUGCUUUACACAUGCAAGUCGAACGGUAACAGGCCGCAAGGUGCUGACGAGUGGCGAACGGGUGAGUAAUGCAUCGGAACGUGCCCAGUCGUGGGGGAUAACGCAGCGAAAGUUGCGCUAAUACCGCCUACGAUCUAUGGAUGAAAGCGGGGGACCGUAAGGCCUCGCGCGAUUGGAGCGGCCGUUGUCAGAUUAGGUAGUUGGUGGGGUAAAGGCUCACCAAGCCGACGAUCUGUAGCUGGUCUGAGAGGACGACCAGCCACACUGGGACUGAGACACGGCCCAGACUCCUACGGGAGGCAGCAGUGGGGAAUUUUGGACAAUGGGCGCAAGCCUGAUCCAGCAAUGCCGCGUGCAGGAAGAAGGCCUUCGGGUUGUAAACUGCUUUUGUACGGAACGAAACGGUCCUGGUUAAUACCCGGGGCUAAUGACGGUACCGUAAGAAUAAGCACCGGCUAACUACGUGCCAGCAGCCGCAGUAA